UACGUAGGGUGCAAGCGUUUGUCCGGAAUUAUUGGGCGUAAAGAGCUCGUAGGCGGUUUGUCGCGUCGGAUGUGAAAGCCCGGGGCUUAACCCCGGGUCUGCAUUCGAUACGGGCAGACUGGAGUGUGGUAGGGGAGAUCGGAAUUCCUGGUGUAGCGGUGAAAUGCGCAGAUAUCAGGAGGAACACCGAUGGCGAAGGCAGGUCACUGGGCCGCAACUGACGCUGAGGAGCGAAAGCAUGGGGAGCGAACAGG
RNAcentral lists this ribosomal RNA (254 nucleotides) under uncultured bacterium. RNAcentral's name for it is "partial 16S ribosomal RNA". It matches the Rfam family "Bacterial small subunit ribosomal RNA", at positions 524 to 776 of the family's 1533-position model. The record is from RNAcentral.